CGGCCAACCAAGAGGCCCAAGUUCCUGGAGACGUUGUCUGGAUCACCAGUGCUCUGCUUGAGGACUCUAUGGUAGGCACUGGAGUGUCCUUUGGGAUCUCUGCCCCAUCAAGGCUCAUAUGGAACAUGGACCUGGUGACGUAGGGUUCAACUCCCUUCUUCCCCAGGAGGCAGAGACAGUAAGGAUCUCAAGCCUAAGACAAAAGUGUACCAUACACUCUCCCAUCCUACACUCUGGGGCAAGCCCAGGCAGAGACCUUCAACUUGAACAUUCUCUGCUCUGAGAUGCUCUUGGACAAGAAGAACAUCCGUGUGCUGGACAUGGGUACGCUUGGGGAAGGAGUGUGCUCCACGUCUCUGUUUUGAAAAAGAAGCUACUUGGAUAUCCGCCAGGCUGUUUUUUUCUUUUUGUUUUUUUGUUUCCUGUGUGUGUGUGUGUGUGUGUGUGUGUGUGUGUGUGUGUGUGUGUGUCUGUGUAGGCAGUGGCUGGCACCAAAAUACUUGCUGAUUAAUCUUUGUCUUCAGCAUACCCGGCUUCAGUCCCUGGGAAGCUCCAGGCCCGAGCUGGUGUCCAAUGGGCCUGAGGGGGCAGAAUCAGGCCCAGGAAGAUGGAUUUCCCUGUCCCUUUGGCGUGUGCCCAGCAGGGGAAGGGGGAAAGGCUGUUUCAUUAUGUUUAAUGGGAUUAUUGGGGAGGGGGACAGUAGUCAUGGG
This is a long non-coding RNA of Apodemus sylvaticus (European woodmouse), 710 nucleotides long. RefSeq lists it as uncharacterized. NCBI's taxonomy places the organism in Eukaryota, Metazoa, Chordata, Mammalia, Rodentia, Muridae. The transcript has 3 exons. The record is from RefSeq and is a predicted model, not a curated record.